This 425-nucleotide ribosomal RNA is filed under the name uncultured prokaryote. Its description in RNAcentral is "bacterial SSU rRNA". It matches the Rfam family "Bacterial small subunit ribosomal RNA", at positions 355 to 774 of the family's 1533-position model. The record is from RNAcentral.
UGGGGAAUCAUGGUCAAUGGGCGAAAGCCUGAACCUGCGACGCCGCGUGAGUGAUGAAGGUCGUAAGAUCGUAAAACUCUUUUCAGGGAUCUUAAAGCCUGUCUGUCAACAACAGGCAGGUCUGACUCUCCCUGGAAGAAGCCCCAGCCAACUACGUGCCAGCAGCUGCGGUAAUACGUAGGGGGCGAGCGUUAUUCGGAAUUACUGGGUGUAAAGGGUAUGUAGGCGGCCCUUCAAGUCGCGUGUCAAAGUCCAGUGCUCAACGCUGGGUGUGCACGCGAUACUGACGGGCUUGAGGGCUGGAGAGGAGAGCGGAAUUCCCAGUGUAGUGGUAAAAUACGUAGAGAUCGGGAAGAACACCAGCGGCGCAGGCGGCUCACUGGACAGUUUCUGACGCUAAGAUGCGAAAGCGUGGGGAGCAAACA